GGCUCGUUGGUCUAGGGGUAUGAUUCUCGCUUAAAAUGUGCGAGAGGUCCAGAUACGGGUUCAAAUCCCGGACGAGCCC
RNAcentral lists this transfer RNA (79 nucleotides) under Anguilla anguilla (European eel). It matches the Rfam family "tRNA". Rfam says of the family: Transfer RNA (tRNA) molecules are approximately 80 nucleotides in length. Lineage: Eukaryota; Metazoa; Chordata; Actinopteri; Anguilliformes; Anguillidae. The record is from Rfam by way of RNAcentral.